Molecule: ribosomal RNA, 482 nt
Filed under: uncultured bacterium
Lineage: Bacteria
Description: partial 16S ribosomal RNA
Rfam family: Bacterial small subunit ribosomal RNA
Source: RNAcentral
AUUGAACGCUGGCGGCAUGCUUUACACAUGCAAGUCGAACGGUAACAGGCCGCAAGGUGCUGACGAGUGGCGCACGGGUGAGUAAUGCAUCGGAACGUGCCCAGUCGUGGGGGAUAACUACUCGAAAGAGUAGCUAAUACCGCAUACGAUCUAUGGAUGAAAGCGGGGGACCGUAAGGCCUCGCGCGAUUGGAGCGGCCGAUGUCAGAUUAGGUAGUUGGUGGGGUAAAGGCUCACCAAGCCAACGAUCUGUAGCUGGUCUGAGAGGACGACCAGCCACACUGGGACUGAGACACGGCCCAGACUCCUACGGGAGGCAGCAGUGGGGAAUUUUGGACAAUGGGCGCAAGCCUGAUCCAGCAAUGCCGCGUGCAGGAAGAAGGCCUUCGGGUUGUAAACUGCUUUUGUACGGAACGAAACGGCUCUGGUUAAUACCCGGGGCUAAUGACGGUACCGAAAGAAUAAGCACCGGCUAACUACGUG